This 346-nucleotide unclassified non-coding RNA is filed under the name soil metagenome. RNAcentral describes it as "partial contains 5.8S ribosomal RNA, internal transcribed spacer 2, and large subunit ribosomal RNA". The stretch from base 1 to 120 matches the Rfam family "5.8S ribosomal RNA", at positions 35 to 154 of the family's 154-position model. The record is from RNAcentral.
GAUGAAGAACGCAGCGAAAUGCGAUAAGUAAUGUGAAUUGCAGAAUUCAGUGAAUCAUCGAGUCUUUGAACGCACAUUGCGCCCUCUGGUAUUCCGGAGGGCAUGCCUGUCCGAGCGUCAUUGCUGCCCUCCAGCCCGGCUGGUGUGUUGGGCCCCGUCCCCCUUCCCGGGGGGACGGGCCCGAAAGGCAGCGGCGGCACCGCGUCCGGUCCUCGAGCGUAUGGGGCUUUGUCACCCGCUCUUGUAGGCCCGGCCGGCGCUUGCCGACACAUCAAUCUUUUUUCCAGGUUGACCUCGGAUCAGGUAGGGAUACCCGCUGAACUUAAGCAUAUCAAUAAGCGGAGGA